RNAcentral lists this ribosomal RNA (486 nucleotides) under uncultured bacterium. RNAcentral's name for it is "partial 16S ribosomal RNA". It matches the Rfam family "Bacterial small subunit ribosomal RNA", at positions 30 to 507 of the family's 1533-position model. The record is from RNAcentral.
AUUGAACGCUGGCGGCAUGCCUUACACAUGCAAGUCGAACGGCAGCACGGGUGCUUGCACCUGGUGGCGAGUGGCGAACGGGUGAGUAAUACAUCGGAACAUGUCCUGUAGUGGGGGAUAGCCCGGCGAAAGCCGGAUUAAUACCGCAUACGAUCUACGGAUGAAAGCGGGGGACCUGCGGGCCUCGCGCUAUAGGGUUGGCCGAUGGCUGAUUAGCUAGUUGGUGGGGUAAAGGCCUACCAAGGCGACGAUCAGUAGCUGGUCUGAGAGGACGACCAGCCACACUGGGACUGAGACACGGCCCAGACUCCUACGGGAGGCAGCAGUGGGGAAUUUUGGACAAUGGGCGAAAGCCUGAUCCAGCAAUGCCGCGUGUGUGAAGAAGGCCUUCGGGUUGUAAAGCACUUUUGUCCGGAAAGAAAUGCUUGGCCCUAAUACGGUCGUGGGAUGACGGUACCGGAAGAAUAAGCACCGGCUAACUACGUG